CUUCACCUCAGGGUUGGAGCUAUGUAAAUUAAUCUUUAAUUGUUAAGAUCUCCCUUUGUUCCUUUUAAAAAUACAUGAAUUAUACAUGUUUUUUCUUUCCCAAUCCUCCAGGACUUUCUCCAUCUUUUAAUGAUCCUAAGACUAUAGCCAGUGACUCUGCAAACCACUGUCUCCUAAAAUGAAUAACUGGAAAAACUUACCAUUUGCAAUCUGCUUCAUUAUUCACUUCUCAAUGAUUUUCUCAAUUUCUGAUUUGUUUUCUCACUCUUCCCAAACAGAAGUCAUUCAAUCUAGAAUCAAUUUAACAUUCGUUUUUCUAAAAAACUGAGCAUAGCAUUUUUCACUUGAGAACAAAAGCUGUUAAACCACUUUUUCCCCUCGAAGCAUUAAGCUUGAUUUAAAUAUUAUUUUUAUUAGUAUAAAGUAGUUUAGAAAUUCAUUAGGCAAACAACCUAGACCAGUAUAUUUUGCACAGGACUGGCCUAGAAUUGCCCUACCAAAAAAUAGUAAUUUAAGGUUGUGUCUAUUUUUCUAAAUUUCUAAUAUUUCUUGGAAAAGCUGUACCAUCUAUUGUAGCUUAAUUGUUAACACUGUGAAGCACUGUGGAUGUUCCAGGGUUACAGACAUUAUCUGGGUCAUUGGAUUUUGCCCAUUCCUUGUUAAAACAGGAAGAUGGAUCUUUAAAAAUCUAGAUGCUUUUCAUAUCCAAAUCAACUUUUUUCAUUUGAGAUCAAGUUUGUACAUUUCCUACCAGCAUUCCAACCAACAAAAACCAAUGAGGAGAUGAAAUAAAAUGUCACCCAGGUUCCACUUCCUCUAGGUAAAUGAUCAGCAGUGACCAUGAGUCCUCUACUCAGAUCUGUGUUCUACACUUCAUGGUCCUACCUUCAGCGCUAUCUUCUUCCUUCCCCUAGGACCUCAGAGGACUCACCUCUUAAAGAGCCAGUCCCACUGUUGGUUUAAGGCUGCAAUGCUAUGAACUCACUCCAAGUAAACAAGCAAAUGACAGAACAAAUAUAUUUAUAAGGAAUCUACUUUGGAUAAAGAUCACUAACAAGAACACCUGGAUGUAGAUGACCACUACUUGACCGGCUACAUUUCACAAUUUCCAAGGUGGUGGUGGGUGAUCGGGGGAGAUAGAUUAAAGAUAAGAUGAGGCCUCCAAAGACACUAUUUGCUUGUCAGAUUAGUCAGUUUCCUUACUUGUGAAGGUCAGUGGCUUCAGAUUUUUACCUAAAAAGUCAAGCCGCUUACAUAUUUCAGAAUAAAAAUUGCCUUUUCAUGUGAAAGAU
Macaca mulatta (Rhesus monkey) is the source of this 1292-nucleotide non-coding RNA. The record is from RefSeq and is a predicted model, not a curated record. Lineage: Eukaryota; Metazoa; Chordata; Mammalia; Primates; Cercopithecidae.